CUCUUUCAGUUUCUCCUUCUUUCUCUCUUAUCCUGUCACUGCGGUGUUUAUAUUUACACUCGCGGUCGGCGAUUAGUAAACUAAGUUGACAGCAAAAAAUGGAGGAUUCCAAUGAGGUGCUAGUCUGUGCAGCAGAGUUCUUGAAGGAUCGGUUAUACUUUGUUACGCUGAGGACAACGGUGAAACCUCGAAGCACCUCUAACACCCACUACUUCAGUAUCGAUGACGAACUCAUCUACGAGAACUUCUACGCUGACUUUGGACCCUUGAAUCUUGCAAUGCUUCAUCGUUAUUGUCAGAAAGUGAACAAGAAACUGAAGGCGAUCACUCUAAGCAAGAAGAAAAUUGUCCACUACACUGUGAUGGACCCUCAGAAGCGAGUAAACGCUGCAUUUCUUAUCGCUAGCUAUGUGAUAAUAUAUUGGAAACGUACCGCUGAAGAAGCCUAUGACAUUUUGAUAGCCAGCCCGACGAGUCCGCCAUUCAUAAUGUUUCGAGAUGCCUCUCUGGGUCCACCUUGCUACCAGAUAUCGUUGAAAGAAUGCCUCCGUGCCAUCCACAAGUGCUACUCUUUGGGAUUUUUCAAUUUUCGUGAUUUUCACCGGGAGGAGUACGAGUACUUUGAACGCGUAGAAAACGGUGACAUGAAUUGGAUAGUUCCAGGAAAGUUUAUCGCGUUUUGCGGACCCCAUGCUAAAACGAAAAUUGAAAACGGGUAUCCCCUACAUGCUCCGGAAUCUUACUUUGCAUACUUUCGUCGUAACAACGUUUCGACGAUCGUUCGGCUCAAUAAGAAAAUUUACGAAGCCUCUAGAUUUGUCGAAGCUGGAUUCGACCACAAGGAGCUGUUCUUCAUAGAUGGUUCGACGCCCACUAAUUCUAUAAUGCAACAGUUUCUGAAAAUAGCUGAAACUGCACCUGGUGCUGUCGCGGUACACUGCAAGGCUGGUCUUGGUAGAACAGGAUCCCUUAUCGGCUGCUAUAUCAUGAAACAUUACCAUCUUACAGCUCGGGAAACCAUUGCAUGGAUCAGAAUAUGUAGACCUGGUUCAGUGAUCGGCCACCAGCAACACUGGCUCGAGGAAAAAGAAGCCUACCUUCAUUCCUUACUGAAGGUACCGCUGCAUCCUGAGAACGGAAAUCCGGUACAUCAGUUUGGGAUAUAUUCAGUGGCUGGAAGACCCGGUGGAUUGUCCUUAUCUGGCCUGCGAAAUUCGCGUUUAGUUCAAGACAAUGUCUCAGGCAUCAUGCACCGAGUCGACGGUAUAAAACUUGACGAUCCUGGGCCGCUUCCAGGCAUCGUUGUACCAAAAAUCUCAGUUUUGACUCAAGGCGACAAGUUGAAUCAGAUAAAAGCAUCACGACGCAGCAUCAUACCUUCUUGUCAAUCGUCUCUGGGCGGUAUAUCGAGCCCCUCGACUGUUGCACAUCCUUACCUGGGACCUUUGCUUCAAACAAGGAGUCAGAAGGGAACCGCCGGCUUGGUUAGUAACAAGGACAAAGAAGUACCCAAGCGGCUCCUCGGCCGUGCGACUACCACAACGAUUGUAAAGAGAAAUAGUUGGCUGGUCACUAACAACUGCGAAUCAAGUGUACGCCGUAUCAAUUCAAAAGCAACGACACAGAUUCGUAGUAUGAACAACAAUCGAAAUCACAUCAACAACAACAACAACAGCAACAAUGUCAACAACGACGUGGAUUCAACGAGUCCAGUAACUUCCAGUUCUGUAUCAAAGCCAGUUACAAGGUCCAGUGUCAGGGCUUCGUGUGUUACCGAAGCUCGCGCUGCUGUUGCAACUACAAACCGCGGGGCUCUGCAGCCCCAACAACCGGGCAUGAAUAUGAUUCUGCGAUCAGCGGAUCGUGUCACACGAUAUCAUUCUCUGAGACAAGAUGUCAGAGACGAUAGGGCGGACAUCCAUAUAUCUCGCCAACGUAGGAGAUCUCGCCGCCUAAAUCCCAUCGUCCAGUGAGAUAAGUAUCACCACGUCGACAAUGUAACCGAGGUUCAAGCAUCAAACGAAGAACACAGAUCUCAUCGUGCUGAGGUUCCGAUGUCCCUGCCAACAAGGAGAGGGAGGAAGAAAGAUAGAUAAGUAGAUACAUAUAGAGGGUGGAAAGUGCUAACUUUACGGUGAAACGAAAUUAUUCUACAAAUGUACGAGCUCAGAGUCACGACGCAGGCUACGAGUGUACGAACAACUGAAAAUAUAAGUUGACUGACAUAUUCGUCUUUGAAAAUGGCUAGGUAUUUUAUAUAUACUUACAAGGAACCAACCAAUAGUUUUAUCCUUGAUGUAACAUUGAAAAAAUCCUUCUGUAGAGAAUUGUACAAUUGAUAUCAUAAUUACAGUUAAACAAAUUAAUAGUAGGUUUGAUACAUCAACACUUGCUGAACGCAGUAAAGUUUAUCGAUUUUAUAGUAACACAAAGACUUAUUUUACUAAUGUAGGUUUACUCUUUUAUUUUAUUUUAUUUUUUUCACCCUCUAAUUAUGUGUAACAUUUUCAAGAAUUUUGUCAAUGAUUUUUAAAUUAAUUAUAAACUGGAAACUUACUUCUUUGCUCGACAUACUACGAUCUUUUUUCUGGUGAGAUGCAAAUGUUAAAUCAGUCGUACUAUCAUUUCAUCCUGAACUACUUAUUGACGACUUUCACCAAUCACAGUGCACUGACCUUGUUUCAAAUUAUUCUCUGUUCCAAUUUGAAUCGCAUGUAUUUUCCUAUUGUGGAAGAUGACCGAAAUAUAACUAAGGUAGUUUUAAAGUGAGUGGACCCCAAGUGCAACACUGAAUCAGAAUAGGUAUGUUCUGCAACAGUGUCAUUGCAUCAUAGUCAGCAUGAAGUUAAUACUCUAGGAAACAUGAAGGAUUCAAAUUCAUAAAUUUCAUCGAUCCCAAUAGUUUCAUCAUGAGAAACUGAUCGAUUUAAAAAAUAAUCAAUUCCCAGUAGUUUUUUUUUUCAAACUACUGUUCCAUUUUACCCUAGUAGCGACAUUUUCAUUUCACGUCGUACUACUUCUUAUAUAUAAGUACAAAGCACCCAAAUGUAUUGGACCUCGAAAUUUAGUUAACGCUAAACAUUUACCUGCUGUAUUAUUAUUCAUAACAAUCGGAAAGUGUGUUUUUUUUAUCAAUUAGGGAUCACAUUGUAGUGAAUUCUUUGUAGAGAUCCGUCAUUUUAGUUCUGCAAGGUAUAAUUGAAAAAAUACGUCACAUGAAAUGGGAUGACAUAAGUAUAGUUCAUUUUUUAUUUUAUUGUAAAAGCGUAAAAAUUUAUUUACGAAUAUAAAAUACAAACUGUCAGAUAGAGUAUGGCUAUUUUAGAAAAUAUAAAAUCCAAGGUCGGUGGCAUCUUCACAAUUACUUGAUCAAUGUUGUGUUGUUCGCGCAGCUGCAAUAUUUACAGCUACAGCGUUAACUUAUGAGUAACGAUAAGAUAUUUGUAAUUACAAAUAUGAAUAAAUCAUCGCAAUGAUUAUUUUUCUGAAA
Diprion similis is the source of this 3490-nucleotide RNA transcript. It is a transcript of the gene named dual specificity protein phosphatase CDC14C-like, with no coding region annotated. Lineage: Eukaryota; Metazoa; Arthropoda; Insecta; Hymenoptera; Diprionidae. The transcript has 10 exons. The record is from RefSeq and is a predicted model, not a curated record.